RNAcentral lists this non-coding RNA (117 nucleotides) under Thorsellia anophelis DSM 18579. Lineage: Bacteria; Pseudomonadati; Pseudomonadota; Gammaproteobacteria; Enterobacterales; Thorselliaceae. The record is from RNAcentral.
GGUGGUAGUCCCACCAACAUCGGCUAGCAAGAGCUGGUGUUAAAUCGGCUCCAGCUGCGUUAUUUAAGAGAUAUCGUGGUGAGCGUGGAGUGAAAAGGCAAUGUUUAAAUUGUCAGA